GGCUGGGGAUAACAUUUGGAAACAGAUGCUAAUACCGAAUAAAACUUAGUAUCGCAUGAUACAAAGUUAAAAGGCGCUACGGCGUCCCCUAAAGAUGGAUCCCCGGUGCAUUAGUUAGUUGGGGGGGUAAAGGCUUACCAAGACGAUGAUGCAUAGCCCAAUUGAGAGACUGAUCGGCCACAUUGGGACUGAAACCCGGCCCAAACUCCUACGGGAGGCUGCAGUAGGGAAUCUUCCCCAAUGGGCGCAAGCCUGAUGGAGCAACGCCCCGUGUGUGAUGAAGGCUUUCGGGUCGUAAAGCACUGUUGUAUGGGAAGAAAUGCUAGAAUAGGGAAUGAUUUUAGUUUGACGGUACCAUACCAGAAAGGGACGGCUAAAUACGUGCCAGCAGCCGCGGUAAUACGUAUGUCCCGAGCGUUAUCCGGAUUUAUUGGGCGUAAA
This 441-nucleotide ribosomal RNA is filed under the name Leuconostoc holzapfelii. Its description in RNAcentral is "bacterial SSU rRNA". It matches the Rfam family "Bacterial small subunit ribosomal RNA", at positions 135 to 564 of the family's 1533-position model. The record is from RNAcentral. Lineage: Bacteria; Bacillati; Bacillota; Bacilli; Lactobacillales; Lactobacillaceae.